RNAcentral lists this ribosomal RNA (465 nucleotides) under uncultured bacterium. Its description in RNAcentral is "partial 16S ribosomal RNA". It matches the Rfam family "Bacterial small subunit ribosomal RNA", at positions 28 to 507 of the family's 1533-position model. The record is from RNAcentral.
GAUGAACGCUGGCGGCGUGCUUAACACAUGCAAGUCGAACGGAAAGGCUCCUGCUUGCAGGGGUACUCGAGUGGCGAACGGGUUAGUAACACGUGGGUGAUCUGCCCUGCACUUCGGGAUAAGCCUGGGAAACUGGGUCUAAUACCGGAUAGGACGAUGGUUUGGAUGCCAUUGUGGAAAGUUUUUCGGUGUGGGAUGAGCUCGCGACCUAUCAGCUUGUUGGUGGGGUAAUGGCCUACCAAGGCGUCGACGGGUAGCCGGCCUGAGAGGGUGUACGGCCACAUUGGGACUGAGAUACGGCCCAGACUCCUACGGGAGGCAGCAGUGGGGAAUAGUGCACAAUGGGCGCAAGCCUGAUGCAGCGACGCCGCGUGGGGGAUGACGGCCUUCGGGUUGUAAACUCCUUUCGCUAGGAACGAAGCGCAAGUGACGGUACCUGGAGAAGAAGCACCGGCUAACUACGUG